Octopus bimaculoides (California two-spot octopus) is the source of this 1400-nucleotide long non-coding RNA. The record is from RefSeq and is a predicted model, not a curated record. NCBI's taxonomy places the organism in Eukaryota, Metazoa, Mollusca, Cephalopoda, Octopoda, Octopodidae.
UUAGCCGACAACCGCAAGUUUGUCAGACAAAAGCAACUAUUAUCUCUGCUCGACCUUAACGACCAAUUAUAUCCAACAUUAUAAAAGGUGGAAAACAUUUACUUCAAAGUCCAUUUCCGGUUUAAUCUCGAUUAAAGGACAAAGAUAUACGUACAUAUGUCUAUAUUUACGAUUUUCUUCUCAGAAAGAGAACAGGGCGGAGAUCAAAACAUUUAUAAUCUGAAAUUAUUGAUUUCCAAUAAAUAACACUGGAAAUUAUAAAUAUUGGUGCCAUUAUAUUAAACAUUUGCGAAGAGUAACCAUGCCACGCACAAAAAAUUCAGCAGUACUGUCAGAUUUUCAAAGAGGUUGUAUUAUUGGGCAAUCUGAGGCUGGUCUUAGCCAGCGAAAAAUUUCGAAAAUCUUCAAAUUCCUCUUGCUACUGUUAAUAGAAUUAUAGUACAAUUCAAAAUCCAAGGAAAAGAAUGAACAGAUUCUCGUCCCAGCCGACCUGGGCCCUCGGAAACGAAGCUUCGCUGUUUGAAGAAAAUUGUGGAAAACGAAUCCCGUUCGUUUCUGACAUUGCAAAACGGCUAGAAGUUAGUCCAAGAACGUGUGUUACAUAUCUGCAUAAGCUUGAAGAAAACCUCUUCAAAACGAGUAGCUUGGAGAAAACCUCUCCUUCAAACAAUUAAUAUCAUGAAAAGAAAGAAAUAGGCUAAGAAGAUAUCAGAAAAAUCCAGUUCAUUUUGAGAUAGAGUGAUUUUCUCAAAUGAAUCCAGAUUAGCAUUAUUUUCAGACAGUGGACGUGUUUGGGUCUGGAGGCUUUCCAAUCAAGAAUUUGAUUUGAAACGACUCCAACCAACUGUGAAACAUGGCGGUAUUUCUGUAAUGGUAUGAGGAGCUGUCACCAGCAAUGGUCAUUCUGAGCUGAUCGAAUGUGUUUGAACCAUAAACUCCAAAAAACACAUCGAAAUACUUAAGCAAUGACUACUUCCGUUAUAUUCACACGAUAACAUAACGAAAAAUGAGUUUUUAAUCAUGGAAGAUGAGGCUCCAUGCCACACAUCAAAAAGAAAUCAACAAUGGCUGACGGAAAAUGGGAUCAAAAAGCUUCCUUGGCCGAGCCAAUCUCCUGACAUGAACCCCAUUGAAAAUCUUUGGAGUAUACUAGAUAGAGCUAUACGAAAAACUCGGCAGAAACCUAAAUCUAAAGAUGAAUUGUUUCGAUUGUUGCUUGAAAAGUGGGCAGAAAUUCCACAAGAGACAAUCACAAAGCUCAUCAGUUCAAUGCCAAAAGGAGUUUCUGAAUUAAAAACUGCAAAGGGAAUGUGAACUAAAUACUAAAGUAUGUAGUCCUACUAUCAAUUACAUUUCAAUUGUUCACUUUGUGUAUUAAAUAAAAGAUUUUGAAAAUUAAA